Molecule: transfer RNA, 59 nt
Filed under: Fukomys damarensis (Damara mole-rat)
Lineage: Eukaryota; Metazoa; Chordata; Mammalia; Rodentia; Bathyergidae
Rfam family: tRNA
About the family: Transfer RNA (tRNA) molecules are approximately 80 nucleotides in length. Their secondary structure includes four short double-helical elements and three loops (D, anti-codon, and T loops).
Source: Rfam by way of RNAcentral
AUUGCUCAGUGGUGGAGCACUUGCCUAGCAUGCAUGAGGCCCUGGGUUCGAUCCCUAGU